UUCGUAGGCGGUGCGGCAAGUCGGGAGUGAAAUCUCUGGGCUUAACUCAGAGGCUGCUUCCGAAACUGCCGUGCUCGAGUGUGGGAGAGGCGCGUGGAAUUGCAGGUGUAGCGGUGAAAUGCGUAGAUAUCUGCAGGAACACCCGUGGCGAAAGCGGCGCGCUGGACCACAACUGACGCUGAGGAACGAAAGCUAGGGGAGCAAACAGGAUUAGAUACCCUGGUAGUCCUAGCCCUAAACGAUCAGGACUUGGGGUGGCGCCCGUUUGGGCGUCGUCCCGGAGCUAACGCGUUAAGUCCUGCACCUGGGGAGUACGGUCGCAAGACUAGAAA
RNAcentral lists this ribosomal RNA (332 nucleotides) under uncultured bacterium. RNAcentral's name for it is "bacterial SSU rRNA". It matches the Rfam family "Bacterial small subunit ribosomal RNA", at positions 568 to 899 of the family's 1533-position model. The record is from RNAcentral.